GUGCUCACUUCAGCAGAACGUAUACUAAAGUCGGAAUGACACAGAGAAGAUCGGUAUGGCCUCUGUGAAGGAUGACACACAAAUUCAUGAGGUGUCCCAUAUUUUC
Non-coding RNA from Arvicanthis niloticus (Nile rat), 106 nucleotides. Lineage: Eukaryota; Metazoa; Chordata; Mammalia; Rodentia; Muridae. The record is from RefSeq and is a predicted model, not a curated record.